GCGUCCUUGACCACCGGGUCCUCGCGUAUGGUGGCUGUGGCCGUGUGGGUGGAGCUCUGCAGCGGCAUUGCCGGCGCGGUGACGUCGACCACCACCGCAGAUGCUGCUCGAGGCAGCCAUGCCGGAGGAGGGAGAGGCGGGGAUGCGCUGCUGAUGGCCGCCACAAUCCGCAGUGGUAGCACGGUGCAGGAGAAAAUGGUAGAGGAUGAGCACAACCUACUUGCUCUUAUGUGAUGGAUUAUUUUCCUGAGGAGAUGCUGGAGGAUGAGCACAAUUUGCUGGUUUUGGGAUGGUAUAGCUUUCCAUGAAUGUGUUGUUGUAUGUUGCUCAGUCCAGUGAAGAUUCUUUGCUCAAAGGAAGAGUUACCCAUCCAUGGCAAUGAUGCAUAAGAGUAGCCUCUCCAGUUUGCCUGCCCCCUGCCUUAUUACUGCAUCAUGAGAAGCAGGAGGACAUGCAGUAUAGUGUACUGCUGGUUAUCAUGAUAGCAGCCAUGCAUGUGCAGCAAGGCAAGGUAGGUUCCUGUUGGUCUGGGGUGCAUGUUUUGCCGACUCUGCCCCUGUCGCUGACCUGCAAAAUAUGCGCCUCCCGUCUGUGACGGUGGUGUUUUGUUUCUAGCCUUGUAAAGGGAAAUUAUA
Molecule: long non-coding RNA, 635 nt
Organism: Lolium rigidum
Lineage: Eukaryota; Viridiplantae; Streptophyta; Magnoliopsida; Poales; Poaceae
Exons: 7
Source: RefSeq, a predicted model, not a curated record